AUGAACGCUGGCGGCGUGCCUAAUCCAUGCAAGUCGAGCGAACAGAUCAGGAGCUUGCUCCUUUGACGUUAGCGGCGGACGGGUGAGUAACACGUGGGUAACCUACCUAUAAGACUGGGAUAACUUCGGGAAACCGGAGCUAAUACCGGAUAAUAUUUCGAACCGCAUGGUUCGAUAGUGAAAGAUGGUUUUGCUAUCACUUAUAGAUGGACCCGCGCCGUAUUAGCUAGUUGGUAAGGUAACGGCUUACCAAGGCGACGAUACGUAGCCGACCUGAGAGGGUGAUCGGCCACACUGGAACUGAGACACGGUCCAGACUCCUACGGGAGGCAGCAGUAGGGAAUCUUCCGCAAUGGGCGAAAGCCUGACGGAGCAACGCCGCGUGAGUGAUGAAGGUCUUCGGAUCGUAAAACUCUGUUAUUAGGGAAGAACAUACGUGUAAGUAACUGUGCACGUCUUGACGGUACCUAAUCAGAAAGCCACGGCUAACUACGUG
RNAcentral lists this ribosomal RNA (496 nucleotides) under uncultured bacterium. Its description in RNAcentral is "partial 16S ribosomal RNA". It matches the Rfam family "Bacterial small subunit ribosomal RNA", at positions 29 to 507 of the family's 1533-position model. The record is from RNAcentral.